This 450-nucleotide ribosomal RNA is filed under the name uncultured organism. RNAcentral describes it as "bacterial SSU rRNA". It matches the Rfam family "Bacterial small subunit ribosomal RNA", at positions 8 to 456 of the family's 1533-position model. The record is from RNAcentral.
AGAGUUUGAUCCUGGCUCAGGACGAACGCUGGCGGCGUGCUUAACACAUGCAAGUCGAACGGAAAGGCCCUGCUUUUGUGGGGUGCUCGAGUGGCGAACGGGUGAGUAACACGUGAGUAACCUGCCCUUGACUUUGGGAUAACUUCAGGAAACUGGGGCUAAUACCGGAUAGGAGCUCCUGCUGCAUGGUGGGGGUUGGAAAGUUUCGGCGGUUGGGGAUGGACUCGCGGCUUAUCAGCUUGUUGGUGGGGUAGUGGCUUACCAAGGCUUUGACGGGUAGCCGGCCUGAGAGGGUGACCGGCCACAUUGGGACUGAGAUACGGCCCAGACUCCUACGGGAGGCAGCAGUGGGGAAUAUUGCACAAUGGGCGGAAGCCUGAUGCAGCAACGCCGCGUGCGGGAUGACGGCCUUCGGGUUGUAAACCGCUUUCGCCUGUGACGAAGCGUGAG